This 45-nucleotide non-coding RNA is filed under the name Trichobilharzia regenti. The record is from RNAcentral. Lineage: Eukaryota; Metazoa; Platyhelminthes; Trematoda; Strigeidida; Schistosomatidae.
AUCCAACUGACGAGUCCCAAACAGGAUGAAAUGCACAUCCUGGAU